CCUACGGGUGGCAGCAGUGGGGAAUAUUGCACAAUGGGGGAAACCCUGAUGCAGCGACGCCGCGUGAGUGAAGAAGUAUUUCGGUAUGUAAAGCUCUGUCGGCAGGGAAGAAAAUGACGGUACCUGACCAAGAAGCCCCGGCUAACUACGUGCCAGCAGCCGCGGUAAUACGUAGGGGGCAAGCGUUAUCCGGAUUUACUGGGUGUAAAGGGAGCGUAGACGGCAGGGGAAGUCUGGAGUGAAAGGCGGGGGCUCAACCCCCGGACUGCCCUGGAAACUGCCAGGCUUGAGUGCAGGAGAGGUAAGUGGAAUGCCUAGUGGAGCGGUGAAAUGCGUAGAUAUUAGGAGGAACACCAGUGGCGAAGGCGGCUUACUGGACUGUAACUGACGUUGAGGCUCGAAAGCGUGGGGAGCAAACAGGAUUAGAUACCCGUGUAGUC
This 440-nucleotide ribosomal RNA is filed under the name uncultured bacterium. Its description in RNAcentral is "partial 16S ribosomal RNA". It matches the Rfam family "Bacterial small subunit ribosomal RNA", at positions 338 to 795 of the family's 1533-position model. The record is from RNAcentral.